This 253-nucleotide ribosomal RNA is filed under the name uncultured bacterium. RNAcentral describes it as "partial 16S ribosomal RNA". It matches the Rfam family "Bacterial small subunit ribosomal RNA", at positions 524 to 776 of the family's 1533-position model. The record is from RNAcentral.
UACGGGGGGGGCAAGCGUUGUUCGGAAUUACUGGGCGUAAAGGGCUCGUAGGCGGCCAACUAAGUCAGACGUGAAAUCCCUCGGCUUAACCGGGGAACGGCCUCUGAUACUGGCUGGCUGGAGUUCGGGAGAGGGAUGCGGAAUCCCAGGUGUAGCGGUGAAAUGCGUAGAUAUCUGGAGGAACACCGGUGGCGAAGGCGGCAUCCUGGACCGACACUGACGCUGAGGAGCGAAAGCCAGGGGAGCAAACGGG